CCUACGGGUGGCAGCAGUGAGGAAUAUUGGUCAACGGACGAGAGUCUGAACCAGCCAAGUAGCGUGAAGGAUGACUGCCCUAUGGGUUGUAAACUUCUUUUAUAUGGGAAUAAAAUGUUCCACGUGUGGGAUUUUGUAUGUACCAUAUGAAUAAGGAUCGGCUAACUCCGUGCCAGCAGCCGCGGUAAUACGGAGGAUCCGAGCGUUAUCCGGAUUUAUUGGGUUUAAAGGGAGCGUAGGUGGAUUGUUAAGUCAGUUGUGAAAGUUUGCGGCUCAACCGUAAAAUUGCAGUUGAAACUGGCAGUCUUGAGUACAGUAGAGGUGAGCGGAAUUCGUGGUGUAGCGGUGAAAUGCUUAGAUAUCACGAAGAACUCCGAUUGCGAAGGCAGUUCACUGGACUGCAACUGACACUGAGGCUCGAAAGUGUGGGUAUCAAACAGGAUUAGAUACCCGGGUAGUC
This 460-nucleotide ribosomal RNA is filed under the name uncultured bacterium. RNAcentral describes it as "partial 16S ribosomal RNA". It matches the Rfam family "Bacterial small subunit ribosomal RNA", at positions 338 to 795 of the family's 1533-position model. The record is from RNAcentral.